AUUGAGCACUGUACAGAUAUAGA
RNAcentral lists this small nuclear RNA (23 nucleotides) under Arabidopsis thaliana (thale cress). Its description in RNAcentral is "snRNA_17979". The record is from RNAcentral. Lineage: Eukaryota; Viridiplantae; Streptophyta; Magnoliopsida; Brassicales; Brassicaceae.